This 762-nucleotide ribosomal RNA is filed under the name uncultured prokaryote. RNAcentral describes it as "bacterial SSU rRNA". It matches the Rfam family "Bacterial small subunit ribosomal RNA", at positions 706 to 1482 of the family's 1533-position model. The record is from RNAcentral.
ACUCCAAUUGCGAAGGCAGCUUANUAGGCUACAACUGACGCUGAAGCACGAAAGCGUGGGGAUCAAACAGGAUUAGAUACCCUGGUAGUCCACGCAGUAAACGAUGAUAACUAGCUGUUUGCGAUACACAGUAAGCGGCACAGCGAAAGCGUUAAGUUAUCCACCUGGGGAGUACGCCGGCAACGGUGAAACUCAAAGGAAUUGACGGGGGCCCGCACAAGCGGAGGAACAUGUGGUUUAAUUCGAUGAUACGCGAGGAACCUUACCUGGGCUUAAAUUGCAGUGGAAUAACGUGGAAACAUGUUAGCCUUCGGGCCGCUGUGAAGGUGCUGCAUGGUUGUCGUCAGCUCGUGCCGUGAGGUGUCGGCUUAAGUGCCAUAACGAGCGCAACCCUCAUCGAUAGUUACUAACAGGUUAAGCUGAGGACUCUAUCGAGACUGCCGACGUAAGUCGUGAGGAAGGUGGGGAUGACGUCAAAUCAGCACGGCCCCUACGUCCAGGGCUACACACGUGUUACAAUGGGGGGUACAAAGGGCAGCUACCUGGCGACAGGAUGCUAAUCUCAAAAACCUCUCUCAGUUCGGAUUGGAGUCUGCAACCCGACUCCAUGAAGCUGGAUUCGCUAGUAAUCGCGCAUCAGCCACGGCGCGGUGAAUACGUUCCCGGGCCUUGUACACACCGCCCGUCAAGCCAUGGGAGCCGGGGGGACCUGAAGUAUGCAACCGUAAGGAGCGUCCUAGGGUAAAACUGGUGACUGGGGCU